CAGUAGCCGCGGGAAUACGAAGGGGGCUAGCGUUGUUCGGAUUUACUGGGCGUAAGGGGCGCGUAGGCGGGCUGAUCAGUCAGGGGUGAAAUCCCAAGGCUCAACCUUGGAACUGCCUUUGAUACUGUCGGUCUUGAGUUCGAGAGAGGUAAGUGGAACUGCGAGUGUAGAGGUGAAAUUCGUAGAUAUUCGCAAGAACACCAGUGGCGAAGGCGGCUUACUGGCUCGAAACUGACGCUGAGGCGCGAAAGCGUGGGGAGCAAACAGGAUUAGAUACCCCGGUAGUCCCUGUCUCUUAUAC
This 301-nucleotide ribosomal RNA is filed under the name uncultured bacterium. RNAcentral describes it as "partial 16S ribosomal RNA". It matches the Rfam family "Bacterial small subunit ribosomal RNA", at positions 509 to 807 of the family's 1533-position model. The record is from RNAcentral.